AGAAAGAUUCCAACAGAAACAGAUAGAAAACGUCUUGAGAAGAUAUAUCAAGGAAUAUAUCACUUGUCACACAUGCCGGUCACCGGACACAAUCCUACAAAAGGACACACGACUCUAUUUCUUACAGUGUGAAAUUUGUCAUUCUCGACGCUCUGUUGCCAGUAUCAAAACUGGCUUCCAGGCUGUCACAGGCAAGCGAGCACAGCUCCGUGCCAAAGCUAACUCAUUUGCUAAUCACCAUUGAUUUUUCCAAAAUGUGGUGGUGAUUUGGCUGGACAGGUUACCAUCAGAGUGGAGUUAAAAACAAGAAAGAAACUGCCAAGUUUUUUGGCAAGUGAUUGUUCUGAAAUCCUUGCAAGAUACCGAUAUUCAAGCUGUUGCCAUACUCAUUGCCUUCUUUAACAACUGUCAGAGAAACGUGAUAGAGUAAGGAGGUGCUUUUUAAAAUCGUUCAUAGACUUAUGUAAAAUGCAAGAUAAGUUAAAGUUAUUAUAACAGUAAUUCUUUAAAAAAAAGAAAC
RNAcentral lists this long non-coding RNA (520 nucleotides) under Rattus norvegicus (Norway rat). Its description in RNAcentral is "long non-coding RNA NONRATT003618". The record is from RNAcentral. Lineage: Eukaryota; Metazoa; Chordata; Mammalia; Rodentia; Muridae.